UACGGAGGGUGCGAGCGUUGUCCGGAAUCACUGGGCGUAAAGGGCGCGUAGGCGGCCGUGUAAGUCACUUGUGAAAUCCCGGGGCUCAACUCCGGGGCUGCAGGUGAGACUGCGUGGCUAGAGCACGGUAGAGGCGAGUGGAAUUCCCGGUGUAGCGGUGGAAUGCGUAGAUAUCGGGAAGAACACCGGUGGCGAAGGCGGUUCUCUGGGCCUUACCUGACGCUGAGGAGCGAAAGCAUGGGGAGCAAACAGG
Molecule: ribosomal RNA, 253 nt
Filed under: uncultured bacterium
Lineage: Bacteria
Description: partial 16S ribosomal RNA
Rfam family: Bacterial small subunit ribosomal RNA
Source: RNAcentral